AUGGAGAUAGACGACAGGACGAAUGGGUUCGAUUACCCAGAGAGAAACAAUACGAAGUCCGUUAACGGCUUCUAUGGUGACCAUCCCUUGGAAGUUGAACAGAAUGAUGUCGUAGGUGAGUUUACUUGUAUUUUAACAUCAUGAUAGGACAAAUACACGUCUAACCACUAUCAUUAGUGAUAAAGUCAUUCAUGUAUUUUCCUGUUCUUCCGUAAAUUUUCAGUUGAGUUUGGAGUUUAUUGUGAGUGGUGAUAUUAAUUCCACACAUCAUCUAAUGUCAGGUUUGUAACAUUCACCCAGCAGCAAUACGUUGGGAUGGCAGUAAAAUUGGCUCAAUGACGCUCUAUAGUGGUGAGAUAGAAUAGUACAUGUACUGGUCCUCGGUGUAGGGCAGGGGUGUCAAACUCGUUCCAUGGAGGGCCAAGUGUAUGCAGGGUUUUGUUUUUUUCCUUCAAUUAAGACAUAGACAACCAGGUGAAGGGAGUUCCUUACUAAUUAGUAACCUUAAUUAAUCAAUGAAGUACAAGGGAGGAGCGAAAACCCGCAGACACUCGGCCCUUCGAGGAAUGAGUUUGACACGUGGUUUAAGGAGUUACCUAGCCAGGAUGCCACUAUUCCCCCAGUUUCUGAAUAAACAUUAAUCAAUGUCAAUAUUGUGUUGAAUGUAACCCAUAGUUUAGGAUACGUGGAUUUAACAAGACUGAUUUAACAACACUGUACUAGACCUACAGUUGAAGUCGGAAGUUUACAUACACCUUAGCCAAAUACAGUUAAACUCUGUUUUUCACAAUUCCUGACAUUUAAUCCCAGUAAAAAUUAAUUGUCUUAGGUCAGUUAGGAUCACCACUUUAUUUUAAGAACGUAAAAUGUCAGAAUAAUAGUAGUGAGAAUGAUUUAUUUCAGCUUUUAUUUCUUUCAUCACCUUCCCAGUGGGUCAGAAGUUUACAUACACUCAGUUAGUUUUUGGUAGCAUUGCCUUUAAAUUGUUUAACUUGGAUCAAACGUUUCGGGUAGCCUUCCACAAGCUUCCCACAAUAAGUUGGGUGAAUUUUGGCCCAUUCCUCCUGACAGAGCUGGUGUAACUGAGUCAGGGUUGUAGGACUCCUUGCUCGCACAUUGUCCAUUUGGAAGACCCGUUUGCGACCAAGCUUUAAC
This 1155-nucleotide long non-coding RNA is filed under the name Oncorhynchus mykiss (rainbow trout). RNAcentral describes it as "lncRNA (ENSOMYG00000058848.1)". Lineage: Eukaryota; Metazoa; Chordata; Actinopteri; Salmoniformes; Salmonidae. The record is from RNAcentral.